GCUUAACACAUGCAAGUCGAGGGGCAGCAUGGUCUUAGCUUGCUAAGGCCGAUGGCGACCGGCGCACGGGUGAGUAACACGUAUCCAACCUGCCGUCUACUCUUGGACAGCCUUCUGAAAGGAAGAUUAAUACAAGAUGGCAUCAUGAGUCCGCAUGUUCACAUGAUUAAAGGUAUUCCGGUAGACGAUGGGGAUGCGUUCCAUUAGAUAGUAGGCGGGGUAACGGCCCACCUAGUCUUCGAUGGAUAGGGGUUCUGAGAGGAAGGUCCCCCACAUUGGAACUGAGACACGGUCCAAACUCCUACGGGAGGCAGCAGUGAGGAAUAUUGGUCAAUGGGCGAGAGCCUGAACCAGCCAAGUAGCGUGAAGGAUGACUGCCCUAUGGGUUGUAAACUUCUUUUAUAAAGGAAUAAAGUCGGGUAUGGAUACCCGUUUGCAUGUACUUUAUGAAUAAGGAUCGGCUAACUCCGUGCCAGCAGCCGCGGUAAUACGGAGGAUCCGAGCGUUAUCCGGAUUUAUUGGGUUUAAAGGGAGCGUAGAUGGAUGUUUAAGUCAGUUGUGAAAGUUUGCGGCUCAACCGUAAAAUUGCAGUUGAUACUGGAUAUCUUGAGUGCAGUUGAGGCAGGCGGAAUUCGUGGUGUAGCGGUGAAAUGCUUAGAUAUCACGAAGAACUCCGAUUGCGAAGGCAGCCUGCUAAGCUGCAACUGACAUUGAGGCUCGAAAGUGUGGGUAUCAAACAGGAUUAGAUACCCUGGUAGUCCACACGGUAAACGAUGAAUACUCGCUGUUUGCGAUAUACUGCAAGCGGCCAAGCGAAAGCGUUAAGUAUUCCACCUGGGGAGUACGCCGGCAACGGCGAAACUCAAAGGAAUUGACGGGGGCCCGCACAAGCGGAGGAACAUGUGGUUUAAUUCGAUGAUACGCGAGGAACCUUACCCGGGCUUAAAUUGCAGAUGAAUUACGGUGAAAGCCGUAAGCCGCAAGGCAUCUGUGAAGGUGCUGCAUGGUUGUCGUCAGCUCGUGCCGUGAGGUGUCGGCUUAAGUGCCAUAACGAGCGCAACCCUUGUUGUCAGUUACUAACAGGUUCCGCUGAGGACUCUGACAAGACUGCCAUCGUAAGAUGUGAGGAAGGUGGGGAUGACGUCAAAUCAGCACGGCCCUUACGUCCGGGGCUACACACGUGUUACAAUGGGGGGUACAGAGGGCCGCUACCACGCGAGUGGAUGCCAAUCCCCAAAACCUCUCUCAGUUCGGACUGGAGUCUGCAACCCGACUCCACGAAGCUGGAUUCGCUAGUAAUCGCGCAUCAGCCACGGCGCGGUGAAUACGUUCCCGGGCCUUGUACACACCGCCCGUCAAGCCAUGGGAGCCGGGGGUACCUGAAGUGCGUAACCGCGAGGAGCGCCCUAGGGUAAAACUGGUGACUGGGGC
Molecule: ribosomal RNA, 1431 nt
Filed under: uncultured bacterium
Lineage: Bacteria
Description: 16S ribosomal RNA
Rfam family: Bacterial small subunit ribosomal RNA
Source: RNAcentral